RNAcentral lists this ribosomal RNA (1188 nucleotides) under uncultured bacterium. RNAcentral's name for it is "bacterial SSU rRNA". It matches the Rfam family "Bacterial small subunit ribosomal RNA", at positions 200 to 1399 of the family's 1533-position model. The record is from RNAcentral.
AUCAAAGGAGCAAUCCGCUGAAAGAUGGACUCGCGUCCGAUUAGAUAGUUGGCGGGGUAACGGCCCACCAAGUCGACGAUCGGUAGCCGGACUGAGAGGUUGAUCGGCCACAUUGGGACUGAGACACGGCCCAGACUCCUACGGGAGGCAGCAGUGAGGGAUAUUGGGCAAUGGGGGAAACCCUGACCCAGCAACGCCGCGUGGGGGAAUGAAGGUCUUCGGAUUGUAAACCCCUGUCAUGUGGGAGCAAAUUAAAAAGAUAGUACCACAAGAGGAAGAGACGGCUAACUCUGUGCCAGCAGCCGCGGUAAUACAGAGGUCUCAAGCGUUGUUCGGAAUCACUGGGCGUAAAGCGUGCGUAGGCUGUUUCGUAAGUCGUGUGUGAAAGGCGCGGGCUCAACCCGCGGACGGCACAUGAUACUGCGAGACUAGAGUAAUGGAGGGGGAACCGGAAUUCUCGGUGUAGCAGUGAAAUGCGUAGAUAUCGAGAGGAACACUCGUGGCGAAGGCGGGUUCCUGGACAUUAACUGACGCUGAGGCACGAAGGCCAGGGGAGCGAAAGGGAUUAGAUACCCCUGUAGUCCUGGCAGUAAACGGUGCACGCUUGGUGUGCGGGGAAUCGACCCCCUGCCUGCCGGAGCUAACGCGUUAAGCGUGCCGCCUGGGGGAGUACGGUCGCAAGAUUAAAACUCAAAGAAAUUGACGGGGACCCGCACAAGCGGUGGAGUAUGUGGCUUAAUUCGAUGCAACGCGAAGAACCUUACCUGGGCUUGACAUGUAAUGAACAACAUGUGAAAGCAUGCGACUCUUCGGAGGCGUUACACAGGUGCUGCAUGGCCGUCGUCAGCUCGUGUCGUGAGAUGUUUGGUUAAGUCCAGCAACGAGCGCAACCCCUGUUGCCAGUUACCAGCACGUGAAGGUGGGGACUCUGGCGAGACUGCCCAGAUCAACUGGGAGGAAGGUGGGGACGACGUCAGGUCAGUAUGGCCCUUAUGCCCAGGGCUGCACACGUACUACAAUGCCCAGUACAGAGGGGGCCGAAGCCGCGAGGCGGAGGAAAUCCUAAAAACUGGGCCCAGUUCGGACUGUAGGCUGCAACCCGCCUACACGAAGCCGGAAUCGCUAGUAAUGGCGCAUCAGCUACGGCGCCGUGAAUACGUUCCCGGGUCUUGCACACACCGCCCGUCA